Molecule: ribosomal RNA, 395 nt
Filed under: uncultured bacterium
Lineage: Bacteria
Description: partial 16S ribosomal RNA
Rfam family: Bacterial small subunit ribosomal RNA
Source: RNAcentral
AUACGUAGGGUGCAAGCGUUAAUCGGAAUUACUGGGCGUAAAGCGUGCGCAGGCGGUUUUGUAAGACAGUGGUGAAAUCCCCGGGCUCAACCUGGGAACUGCCAUUGUGACUGCAAGGCUGGAGUGCGGCAGAGGGGGAUGGAAUUCCGCGUGUAGCAGUGAAAUGCGUAGAUAUGCGGAGGAACACCGAUGGCGAAGGCAAUCCCCUGGGCCUGUACUGACGCUCAUGCACGAAAGCGUGGGGAGCAAACAGGAUUAGAUACCCUGGUAGUCCACGCCCUAAACGAUGUCAACUGGUUGUGGGGUCUUCAUUGACUCAGUAACGAAGCUAACGCGUGAAGUUGACCGCCUGGGGAGUACGGCCGCAAGGUUGAAACUCAAAUGAAUUGGCGGGG